GACGAACGCUGGCGGCGUGCUUAACACAUGCAAGUCGAACGGAAAGGCCCUGCUUUUGUGGGGUGCUCGAGCGGCGAACGGGUGAGUAACACGCGAGUAACCUGCCCUUGACUUUGGGAUAACUUCAGGAAACUGGGGCUAAUACCGGAUAGGAGCUCCUGCUGCAUGGUGGGGGUUGGAAAGUUUCGGCGGUUGGGGAUGGACUCGCGGCUUAUCAGCUUGUUGGUGGGGUAGUGGCUUACCAAGGCUUUGACGGGUAGCCGGCCUGAGAGGGUGACCGGCCACAUUGGGACUGAGAUACGGCCCAGACUCCUACGGGAGGCAGCAGUGGGGAAUAUUGCACAAUGGGCGGAAGCCUGAUGCAGCAACGCCGCAUGCGGGAUGACGGCCUUCGGGUUGUAAACCGCUUUCGCCUGUGACGAAGCGUGAGUGACGGUAAUGGGUAAAGAAGCACCGGCUAACUACGUG
RNAcentral lists this ribosomal RNA (468 nucleotides) under uncultured bacterium. RNAcentral's name for it is "partial 16S ribosomal RNA". It matches the Rfam family "Bacterial small subunit ribosomal RNA", at positions 28 to 507 of the family's 1533-position model. The record is from RNAcentral.